RNAcentral lists this ribosomal RNA (492 nucleotides) under uncultured bacterium. Its description in RNAcentral is "partial 16S ribosomal RNA". It matches the Rfam family "Bacterial small subunit ribosomal RNA", at positions 29 to 507 of the family's 1533-position model. The record is from RNAcentral.
AGUGAACGCUGGCGGUAGGCCUAACACAUGCAAGUCGAACGGCAGCACAGUAAGAGCUUGCUCUUACGGGUGGCGAGUGGCGGACGGGUGAGGAAUACAUCGGAAUCUACUUUUUCGUGGGGGAUAACGUAGGGAAACUUACGCUAAUACCGCAUACGACCUACGGGUGAAAGCAGGGGAUCUUCGGACCUUGCGCGAUUGAAUGAGCCGAUGCCGGAUUAGCUAGUUGGCGGGGUAAAGGCCCACCAAGGCGACGAUCCGUAGCUGGUCUGAGAGGAUGAUCAGCCACACUGGAACUGAGACACGGUCCAGACUCCUACGGGAGGCAGCAGCGGGGAAUAUUGGACAAUGGGCGCAAGCCUGAUCCAGCCAUACCGCGUGGGUGAAGAAGGCCUUCGGGUUGUAAAGCCCUUUUGUUGGGAAAGAAAAGCAGCAGGUUAAUACCCCGCUGUUCUGACGGUACCCAAAGAAUAAGCACCGGCUAACUUCGUG